AGCGGCGGAUGGGUGAGUAACACGUGGGGAACCUGCCCCUAAGUCUGGGAUACCAUUUGGAAACAGGUGCUAAUACCGGAUAAUAAAGCAGAUCGCAUGAUCAGCUUUUGAAAGGCGGCGUAAGCUGUCGCUAAGGGAUGGCCCCGCGGUGCAUUAGCUAGUUGGUAAGGUAACGGCUUACCAAGGCGACGAUGCAUAGCCGAGUUGAGAGACUGAUCGGCCACAUUGGGACUGAGACACGGCCCAAACUCCUACGGGAGGCAGCAGUAGGGAAUCUUCCACAAUGGACGCAAGUCUGAUGGAGCAACGCCGCGUGAGUGAAGAAGGUUUUCGGAUCGUAAAGCUCUGUUGUUGGUGAAGAAGGAUAGAGGUAGUAACUGGCCUUUAUUUGACGGUAAUCAACCAGAAAGUCACGGCUAACUACGUGCCAGCAGCCGCGGUAAUACGUAGGUGGCAAGCGUUGUCCGGAUUUAUUGGGCGUAAAGCGAGCGCAGGCGGAAAAAUAAGUCUAAUGUGAAGGCCCUCGGCUUAACCGAGGAACUGCAUCGGAAACUGUUUUUCUUGAGUGCAGAAGGGGAGAGUGGAACUCCAUGUGUAGCGGUGGAAUGCGUAGAUAUAUGGGAGAACACCAGUGGCGAAGGCGGCUCUCUGGUCUGCAACUGACGCUGAGGCUCGAAAGCAUGGGUAGCGAACAGGAUUAGAUACCCUGGUAGUCCAUGCCGUAAACGAUGAGUGCUAAGUGU
This 743-nucleotide ribosomal RNA is filed under the name uncultured bacterium. RNAcentral describes it as "bacterial SSU rRNA". It matches the Rfam family "Bacterial small subunit ribosomal RNA", at positions 94 to 823 of the family's 1533-position model. The record is from RNAcentral.